Non-coding RNA from Myodes glareolus (Bank vole), 1189 nucleotides. The record is from RefSeq and is a predicted model, not a curated record. Lineage: Eukaryota; Metazoa; Chordata; Mammalia; Rodentia; Cricetidae.
AAAAUCUGAGAGCGUGUGGAAAAGGAUUCUAGACAUAAAAGAACAGAGCAGUGAUUUCAUCCUCAAUGCUCAUGUCUACAAACUGAAGAGCAACCAUAUAAACAUGGAUUUUAAACCUGCCCAGCUGAUGCCUAAUAUCUUACCACAGACUGGGCUGUGAUCUACACUUGCCUUAAAAUAUGGGAUUAGUAAACAGGCCCAUUUUUUGCUCAGGCUGCCCCUCCUACCCUGUGAUAUGAAGAUACAAGCCAUCAGCUUCUGCCAACAGAUCUAUUCUUUAUGAUACGCUGUCUUCAGAUAAGAUAUCCAUUUCUUCGGGAUAUAAAUUGAAUCUUCACAUGUCAUGAAGUAUUUUUAAGUCCAAGAAUAAUGAACUAUUCAUGACAAUGGGACAAGUCUUCUUUGGCUUCUCCAAAAGGAAGAUGGACAUAGAAAAGGCUCCUUAUGGACUUGGUUAGCCAUUUGGGCAAAAAGCUGCUCUUGCUUGAAGUGCUUUACUAGACAUGCAGUACCCAUAGAAAAAUGACUGCUGAAAAUGACUAAAGGUGAGAUGAUCCUUCAGGGUUCCUGCUUCAUGAAAGAGUCUGCUUGACAUUUCCAGUUUGCUGAAGAAAGUGACUGAACUGUCUUUGAAAAAUCUCCUGCUUUGUGAAAAAGUCUAUUGGAUACUAUGAUACUGUGGACUGAAGAUGGAUAACCCAUUGGUACAGAAGAACUUUAGAGACGAGGGGAAUUCCGCUGUUUCUUAUCCCCUGGGAGAUCCAUUGUGGGAAUGGCUAAGACACUGCAGUUUUAUUCAUGAAACCUUAAAGUCACCGAAUAUUUCAACCAGUAAAGUUUUCUAGAGACCUUUUGGGAGGUCUUGUUCCAUAAUACAACAAUAGCCUGGAAACAAUCCACAGGUUCUCAUCUUCUGUGGAAAUAAAAGCAGGACAUCUUUUCAAAAGUAACAUAUCCACCAUGACAUGAUGCUGCACACCUUUAAUCAUUUGGGACUUGGGAGUCAGAUACAGGUGGAUCUCCGUGAGUUUGAGUCCAGUCUGGUCUACAAGAGCUAUUUCCAGGACAGACUGCAAAGGAGGCCCUGAAUCAAAUGUCCCUCUGCCGUCAAAAACUGAUCUAAUGAGAGUUCACCAAGGCCAGUUGGACUGGGAUUGAACGAGCACGUGAUCCAAAAAGAUUAUCUGAA